UACGGAGGGUGCAAGUGUUAUCCGGAAUCACUGGGCGUAAAGCGUCUGUAGGCGGUUUAAUAAGUCAACUGUUAAAUCUUGAGGCUCAACCUCAAAAUCGCAGUCGAAACUAUUAGGCUAGAGUAUAGUAGGGGUAAAGGGAAUUUCCAGUGGAGCGGUGAAAUGCGUAGAGAUUGGAAAGAAAACCGAUGGCGAAGGCACUUUACUGGGCUAUUACUAACACUCAGAGACGAAAGCUAGGGUAGCAAAUGGG
Molecule: ribosomal RNA, 253 nt
Filed under: uncultured bacterium
Lineage: Bacteria
Description: partial 16S ribosomal RNA
Rfam family: Bacterial small subunit ribosomal RNA
Source: RNAcentral